UACGUAGGGACCGAGCGUUGUCCGGAUUCAUUGGGCGUAAAGAGCUCGUAGGCGGCCACUCAAGUCGAAUGUGAAACCUCCAGGCUCAACCUGGAGACGCCACUUGAUACUGCUGUGACUGGAGUCCGGUAGGGGAGCGUGGAAUUCCUGGUGUAGCGGUGAAAUGCGCAGAUAUCAGGAGGAACACCAGCGGCGAAGGCGGCGCUCUGGGCCGGUACUGACACUGAGGAGCGAAAGCGUGGGUAGCAAACAGG
This 254-nucleotide ribosomal RNA is filed under the name uncultured bacterium. RNAcentral's name for it is "partial 16S ribosomal RNA". It matches the Rfam family "Bacterial small subunit ribosomal RNA", at positions 524 to 776 of the family's 1533-position model. The record is from RNAcentral.